UGGGGAAUAUUGGACAAUGGGCGCAAGCCUGAUCCAGCCAUGCCGCGUGAGUGAUGAAGGCCCUAGGGUUGUAAAGCUCUUUCACCGGUGAAGAUAAUGACGGUAACCGGAGAAGAAGCCCCGGCUAACUACGUGCCAGCAGCCGCGGUAAUACGUAGGUGGCAAGCGUUGUCCGGAAUUAUUGGGCGUAAAGCGCGCGCAGGUGGUUUAGAAAGUCUGAUGUGAAAGCCCACGGCUCAACCGUGGAGGGUCAUUGGAAACUAAUAAACUUGAGUGCAGGAGAGAAAAGUGGAAUUCCUAGUGUAGCGGUGAAAUGCGUAGAGAUUAGGAGGAACACCGGUGGCGAAAGCGGCUUUUUGGCCUGCAACUGACACUGAGGCGCGAAAGCGUGGGGAGCAAACAGG
RNAcentral lists this ribosomal RNA (404 nucleotides) under Verrucomicrobiota bacterium. RNAcentral describes it as "Verrucomicrobia bacterium partial 16S ribosomal RNA". It matches the Rfam family "Bacterial small subunit ribosomal RNA", at positions 355 to 776 of the family's 1533-position model. The record is from RNAcentral. Lineage: Bacteria; Pseudomonadati; Verrucomicrobiota.